Molecule: ribosomal RNA, 482 nt
Filed under: uncultured bacterium
Lineage: Bacteria
Description: partial 16S ribosomal RNA
Rfam family: Bacterial small subunit ribosomal RNA
Source: RNAcentral
AUUGAACGCUGGCGGCAUGCUUUACACAUGCAAGUCGAACGGUAACAGCACUUCGGUGGCUGACGAGUGGCGAACGGGUGAGUAAUACAUCGGAACGUGCCUAGUAGUGGGGGAUAACUACUCGAAAGAGUAGCUAAUACCGCAUGAGAUCUAAGGAUGAAAGCAGGGGACCUUCGGGCCUUGCGCUACUAGAGCGGCUGAUGGCAGAUUAGGUAGUUGGUGGGAUAAAAGCUUACCAAGACGACGAUCUGUAGCUGGUCUGAGAGGACGACCAGCCACACUGGGACUGAGACACGGCCCAGACUCCUACGGGAGGCAGCAGUGGGGAAUUUUGGACAAUGGGCGCAAGCCUGAUCCAGCAAUGCCGCGUGCAGGAUGAAGGCCUUCGGGUUGUAAACUGCUUUUGUACGGAACGAAAAGCCCUCUUCUAAUACAGGAGGGUCAUGACGGUACCGUAAGAAUAAGCACCGGCUAACUACGUG